GACGAACGCUGGCGGCGUGCUUAACACAUGCGAGUCGAACGGAAAGGCCCUGCUUUUGUGGGGUGCUCGAGUGGCGAACGGGUGAGUAACACGUGAGUAACCUGCCCUUGACUUUGGGAUAACUUCAGGAAACUGGGGCUAAUACCGGAUAGGAGCUCCUGCUGCAUGGUGGGGGUUGGAAAGUUUCGGCGGUUGGGGAUGGACUCGCGGCUUAUCAGCUUGUUGGUGGGGUAGUGGCUUACCAAGGCUUUGACGGGUAGCCGGCCUGAGAGGGUGACCGGCCACAUUGGGACUGAGAUACGGCCCAGACUCCUACGGGAGGCAGCAGUGGGGAAUAUUGCACAAUGGGCGGAAGCCUGAUGCAGCAACGCCGCGUGCGGGAUGACGGCCUUCGGGUUGUAAACCGCUUUCGCCUGUGACGAAGCGUGAGUGACGGGAAUGGGUAAAGAAGCACCGGCUAACUACGUG
This 468-nucleotide ribosomal RNA is filed under the name uncultured bacterium. RNAcentral describes it as "partial 16S ribosomal RNA". It matches the Rfam family "Bacterial small subunit ribosomal RNA", at positions 28 to 507 of the family's 1533-position model. The record is from RNAcentral.